Molecule: ribosomal RNA, 253 nt
Filed under: uncultured bacterium
Lineage: Bacteria
Description: partial 16S ribosomal RNA
Rfam family: Bacterial small subunit ribosomal RNA
Source: RNAcentral
UACGUAGGGGGCAAGCGUUGUCCGGAUUUAUUGGGCGUAAAGAGCGUGUCGGCGGCCUGACAAGUCUGCUGUGAAAACUCGAGGCUCAACCUCGAGAUGUCGGCGGAAACUGUCUGGCUAGAGUCCGGAAGAGGAGAGUGGAAUUCCUGGUGUAGCGGUGAAAUGCGCAGAUAUCAGGAAGAACACCUAUGGCGAAGGCAGCUCUCUGGGACGGUACUGACGCUGAGACGCGAAAGCGUGGGGAGCGAACAGG